CGAGCCUGAGCAGCACGCCGCGUGAGUGAUGAAGGCCUUCGGGUUGUAAAACUCUGUCUUUGGGGACGAUAAUGACGGUACCCAAGGAGGAAGCCACGGCUAACUACGUGCCAGCAGCCGCGGUAAUACGUAGGUGGCAAGCGUUGUCCGGAUUUACUGGGCGUAAAGGAUGCGUAGGUGGAUAUUUAAGUCAGAUGUGAAAUACCCGAGCUCAACUUGGGUGCUGCAUUUGAAACUGGAUAUCUAGAGUGCAGGAGAGGUAAGUGGAAUUCCUAGUGUAGCGGUGAAAUGCGUAGAGAUUAGGAAGAACACCAGUGGCGAAGGCGACUUACUGGACUGUAACUGACACUGAGGCAUGAAAGCGUGGGGAGCAAACAGGAUUAGAUACCCUGGUAGUCCACGCCGUAAACGAUGAGUACUAGGUGUAGGAGGUAUCGACUCCUUCUGUGCCGCAGUUAACACAAUAAGUACUCCGCCUGGGAAGUACGGUCGCAAGAUUAAAACUCAAAG
Molecule: ribosomal RNA, 510 nt
Filed under: uncultured Clostridia bacterium
Lineage: Bacteria; Bacillati; Bacillota; Clostridia
Description: bacterial SSU rRNA
Rfam family: Bacterial small subunit ribosomal RNA
Source: RNAcentral